RNAcentral lists this long non-coding RNA (307 nucleotides) under Pelobates cultripes (western spadefoot toad). The record is from RNAcentral. Lineage: Eukaryota; Metazoa; Chordata; Amphibia; Anura; Pelobatidae.
CUCACAAUAGGUUAGUCUUCAAACUAAAAGAAAUUGGUCUAGAUGAAUAUUCUUGUUCUUGGGUAGAACAUUGGCUUAAGGAUAGAGUACAACGAGUUGUAAUUAAUGGUAAAUUUUCAGGCUGGACAAAAGUGGUAAGUGGUGUCCCUCAGGGUUCUGUUUUGGGACCACUUCUAUUUAACAUAUUUAUAAAUGAUCCUGAAAUAAGCAUUGGAAGCCAUGUAUCAGUGUUUGCAGAUGACACAAAACUUUGUAUAAUUAAUAAAAUGUGAGUAAGACCACACCUUGAAUAUGCUGUGCAAUUUUG